This 74-nucleotide transfer RNA is filed under the name Candidatus Woesearchaeota archaeon. RNAcentral describes it as "tRNA-Met". It matches the Rfam family "tRNA". Rfam says of the family: Transfer RNA (tRNA) molecules are approximately 80 nucleotides in length. Their secondary structure includes four short double-helical elements and three loops (D, anti-codon, and T loops). The record is from RNAcentral. Lineage: Archaea; Nanobdellati; Candidatus Woesearchaeota.
GGCACUGUAGUUCAACCUGGUAGAACACUAGUCUCAUGAGCUAGUUGUUGGGGGUUCAAAUCCCCCUGGUGCCA